Molecule: long non-coding RNA, 232 nt
Filed under: Elaeis guineensis (African oil palm)
Lineage: Eukaryota; Viridiplantae; Streptophyta; Magnoliopsida; Arecales; Arecaceae
Description: long non-coding RNA (EGUI_LNC038618)
Source: RNAcentral
UGGGUCAACUAAGAUAUUUGCUGGGUCAUCUCAAAAAAAUUUUUAGAUCUUCACCUUUCUAUCUUUAUCUUAAGUCUGAGAUUGAGUCAGCUAAGAUGCUGUCUUAGUCAAUUAAGAUGAAAACUUGAUCGGCUAAGGAAGUUCUUCUGAAUUUUAACUCUUUCUAUCUUUCUCUUGAACUGAGAUUAGGUCGGCUAAGCUCCUUAUUUGAUCGACUCAAAAGUAUGCUAAG